UCCUUCUCAUGAGCUCCUCUUAGUCUUACCCAUGAUUGUGCACGGAUUCGCACGAGAAGCAGAGCCAAAGCACAGUUAGAACAGGCCUGCCCCGUCUUCAUGUGGGCGUCGCUUAUGUCUGCUGUGCAACAAGU
Molecule: small nucleolar RNA, 134 nt
Filed under: Stegastes partitus (bicolor damselfish)
Lineage: Eukaryota; Metazoa; Chordata; Actinopteri; Pomacentridae
Description: Small nucleolar RNA SNORA75 (ENSSPAG00000002657.1)
Rfam family: Small nucleolar RNA SNORA75
About the family: U23 belongs to the H/ACA class of snoRNAs. snoRNAs bind a number of proteins (including dyskerin, Gar1p and Nop10p in the case of the H/ACA class) to form snoRNP complexes. This class are thought to guide the sites of modification of uridines to pseudouridines by forming direct base pairing interactions with substrate RNAs.
Source: Rfam by way of RNAcentral